This 910-nucleotide ribosomal RNA is filed under the name uncultured bacterium. Its description in RNAcentral is "bacterial SSU rRNA". It matches the Rfam family "Bacterial small subunit ribosomal RNA", at positions 8 to 916 of the family's 1533-position model. The record is from RNAcentral.
AGAGUUUGAUCAUGGCUCAGAUUGAACGCUGGCGGCAUGCUUUACACAUGCAAGUCGAACGGCAGCGCGGGGCAACCUGGCGGCGAGUGGCGAACGGGUGAGUAAUAUAUCGGAACGUACCCAAGAGUGGGGGAUAACGUAGCGAAAGUUACGCUAAUACCGCAUACGAUCUAAGGAUGAAAGUGGGGGACCGCAAGGCCUCACGCUCCUGGAGCGGCCGAUAUCUGAUUAGCUAGUUGGUGAGGUAAUGGCUCACCAAGGCGACGAUCAGUAGCUGGUCUGAGAGGACGACCAGCCACACUGGAACUGAGACACGGUCCAGACUCCUACGGGAGGCAGCAGUGGGGAAUUUUGGACAAUGGGCGCAAGCCUGAUCCAGCAAUGCCGCGUGAGUGAAGAAGGCCUUCGGGUUGUAAAGCUCUUUUGUCAGGGAAGAAACGGCUCAAGCUAAUAUCUUGGGCUAAUGACGGUACCUGAAGAAUAAGCACCGGCUAACUACGUGCCAGCAGCCGCGGUAAUACGUAGGGUGCAAGCGUUAAUCGGAAUUACUGGGCGUAAAGCGUGCGCAGGCGGUUUUGUAAGUCUGUCGUGAAAUCCCCGGGCUUAACCUGGGAAUUGCGAUGGAGACUGCAAGGCUAGAAUCUGGCAGAGGGGGGUAGAAUUCCACGUGUAGCAGUGAAAUGCGUAGAGAUGUGGAGGAACACCGAUGGCGAAGGCAGCCCCCUGGGUCAAGAUUGACGCUCAUGCACGAAAGCGUGGGGAGCAAACAGGAUUAGAUACCCUGGUAGUCCACGCCCUAAACGAUGUCUACUAGUUGUCGGGUCUUAAUUGACUUGGUAACGCAGCUAACGCGUGAAGUAGACCGCCUGGGGAGUACGGUCGCAAGAUUAAAACUCAAAGGAAUUGACGG